GGUGUUUCUCUCUUUUCUUGCUUCCAUGGUCACUUUGAGAGCCAAUGCAGCUGGCCUAUCUUUGGCAGUUCACAGACUGGCACCCAAACAGGGACAAACCACCACACAGGGACUUGCCAUUUCCGCCGAGUCCACCCUUGGCCCAAGAUCAUUCAACAAACACAUAGUGUUGAUGAUCAAGGUACCCAAGCACUCCAGCAGCCAUCAUGAUCAGCCCCCAACAUUAAACUUAUAAAUUAUGUGGAAAGAUCUGGCUAUGGGGCAGUGGCAAGGACCAGCCACAGUGGAAGGAUGGGAGAAGGGGUCUGUUCUUGUUACAGAUUCUGCGGACAAGAUAACAGUACCCUGGACAGCAGUACAGCCUGUUGAGAGUAAAGCAGUUGCUGCUGUUCCAUCAUGAUGGUCUUGCUGUGUCUGCUUAUUCUUCUGUCACUGGAAUGUAUGUCCAUGGAACUCCGCUAGGCCUUGUGGAAUGUCCCACUGUGGUUCUUAUUGGUGACCUGGGAAGAUCCAUCCAGUCCUCUCGGAUGGUCCCAGAGACCACUCGUCCUAUGGACAUGUUAACACCUCUCACUGUAAAACAACUGCAUCAUGAGAAUGUCAUGUGACAAUUUAAUUUUUAAUAACCAGGGAUUAUGGAAUGUCACCUGCAUGGACUAUAUACUUUUGUGAUGUCUAUCUUAUGGAAUGUAUACCAAAGCCCAAGCCCUGAGACCCAGAAAGCAGAUACAUGUAUAUGUUGUCACCCAUACCCCUUUGCGAUCCCACUGUAAUAGGUCUACAAAGGUAUGAUUCCCCU
This 799-nucleotide long non-coding RNA is filed under the name Sarcophilus harrisii (Tasmanian devil). Its description in RNAcentral is "lncRNA (ENSSHAG00000029886.1)". Lineage: Eukaryota; Metazoa; Chordata; Mammalia; Dasyuromorphia; Dasyuridae. The record is from RNAcentral.